This is a long non-coding RNA of Rosa rugosa (rugosa rose), 461 nucleotides long. RefSeq lists it as uncharacterized. The record is from RefSeq and is a predicted model, not a curated record. Lineage: Eukaryota; Viridiplantae; Streptophyta; Magnoliopsida; Rosales; Rosaceae. The transcript has 2 exons.
CCUAUAUAUACAAUACCGCAGACACAUUAGGGUUCAGGGUCUUUAGACUCAUCAAAACCCUUUGGAGAGCUCCGCCGUCGUUUUGAAGUAGCACCACCUUUCCCCACCCAACAUGAGGGCCAAGUGGAAGAAGAAGCGCAUGAGGAGAUUGAAGAGGAAGCGCCGAAAGAUGAGGCAGAGAUCGAAGUAGACACCUUUGGGGUCUCAAUCUGCAUCAAGCUUCUGGUGGAGUUUUGUAGACUGGAGCCUGUAGGAUGUUUAUGAGUGAUUAAUUCCUUUCUUUCUUAGAUUGGGAUUAUGACUAUCUUAUGUUAUGUUUUAAAUUUCAAGUCUUUUGAUUAUGUGUUUCGAACUUAAUGGCUCUACUAGUUUUAUCGAGUUUUUAUGCAACUUCAUGGAUCUUAUGAUGCUCAAGCUUUCGGUUUUUAAUUUAUCAUAUUAUGGGUUGCGUGUUCUUAUGA